AAAGGAAGAUAUCCUUAUCAUAUAGCUAUGCUACGUAUUACAAAAUAAUUAACCAAUCAUAUUCUUUUUUUUUUACACAUCAGACGGGCUUCAACAUGUGGGCUUCGUCCUGCUUCUGCUGUUUAUGUUUGGGACUGAUUUUUUUCAAUCACCAGCCAUAGAGGACCUGUGUGUACCUCUGCUGUUCUUUGUCGCCGUCGUGUACGAGGCGCUGUAGCUCCUGAAGUCUCCGGUUCUUGGACCGCCGUGGUAAGGCUAGAUCUGCAUCCCUCCGUCUCCAUACGGUGUUCAAACCAGGUUGACUUCUACAUAAUACCAAAUACAUUUAUUCCAAUAUCUAUCUCCCUCUUCACAUCUCCUUCCGCUCCUCCCUACUCCAAUGAACCACGCCGUGUCUGCAUCUAUCCGACUCGCACCUUCGAGAAACGAAAAGUAUGAUCUGAAGAAGCUGUGGUGUGGUGUGGAGAUGUCAAAGGAAGGUAGCGGUGGUGGUGGUAAUGGAGCUGAGCAAGAAGAAGAAGAAGAGAAAGGCGGAGAAGAAGAGAAGACAGAGAUGCGAGGAGGAUGGAGUCGGAAGAUGACGACGGCUGCGUAGAUUAGGUUUAGGUUUUGGUUUAUUAGUUUUGGUUUAGUUAGGUGUUGGUUUAAUCUGUUUUAGUUUUUGGUUUAAUGUAUUCUGGUUUAUUAAAUUUUUGAUCCUGGUUUAGUUUUAUACUUAAUUGUAAUCUAAUUUUAAUUAAUAAAUAAAAUUUCAUUUCUAAUUAAAAAUUAAUUUUCGAUUUUCUAAUAUUUUUUUAUUAAUUAAUUUAAUUAGUUAAUUUUAACUAUUUUAUUUUAAAUUACAGCAUUAUAUUUAUGUCAUUAUAAAAUAUUUUACAAUACUACAAAACAGCUAUGAAAAAUUACAUAAUAGCCGACAACAAUAUUUACACAUUUCAGGGCAAUGGAAAUAAAAAUGAUGAUUUUUUUUGGUAAGAAUAUAAAAUUAUUAUUACCAGCUUUUGAAAUUUUUGACAAAAGAAAAAGGAGAACAAGGAGCAGAAAACAUAAACAUAAAUCUAAACACAAACUUGAACUAGACAAUUGGGGACAAAAACUACAGACUGGAGAGCUAUCCGGAGACUUGACUUAGAAAGCACGAACCACUUGCCGGAAAGAGAAGAGCCGCAGUUAAACCGAGAGCUAGAACCCGGUAUAAUUGGCCUCCCCGAUGAUCUACUCUUUAAGAUUCGGCCCCACCAAGAACAGCUUGCAGAAGGCUUACUAAGCACCCACCUACACAAAGAGACAACACCAGCAGAGGCCAAGCACACCCACAAAGACUAGACCAAGCUUUAUUUGGAAAGAAUGGCCUCCGAAGCUAGCCACAAGCCAUGGACCGAUACCAAGAAGUUAGAGAAAGCACGCACCACCUGGAAGGGAGGACAGGAAGCAGCCUUAGAUCAUGCUCCUGAAGCUAGCUGUCUCAACGCGCAACGCCACCGAGAACGAGAGUUGUGGUUGACAAGACCGACAACAAACCUCCUCUCACGCGCCCACAGCGGAGAACCCACAGUAGAGCUUCCCAGAUCUGAACCUGAGCAACCGAAGAGGCCAAACGAGAGCUUGACUGUCUGACCCUAAGACACGCGCCGCCGAAACCUAAGAAACAAGCACAGGAACACCGAACCCCCGCAGUCUCAGAAAUCCCGGCCACAUAUGCAGAUCGAGAGAGUUAACUCCCCCAUGCCGAGAAGAAGGGACAGGGGAGCCAGGGGAAGGGAGGAUAUCCACUUCCAAAGACCAGAUCUGACACCAGAUCGAAAGCCUCCGCCACCGAGCCCAUCCAAAGAAACCCCUCAACAUAACCGACCUCCGAGCUUCUCCGAGACUCCGAGCCAAACUCACCAGAACAGAACCGCGGUGGUGAGGACCUAGAGCAUCAGGAAAGGAAACACAGAGGGAGGGCUGUAGAGAGACGAGACGGAGAAGGGGGGUGACCGGAGGCGAAGAAUCUCCAACCACCCAAAUGGUAGAUCUAGGUUUUUUUUUUUUACUUUGAGAUGGAAGAGAGGUUUUUUAGAGAGAGAAGAGAGCGUCUUUUCAAAUGAUAAACACACAAGUUUAAUGUAAAGGUGACUGAGCACAAUCUAUCUGGCAGGACAUGAGUGAUAACAGAACACCAUCUAUACCAGGACACGAAAGUCCUGUCUCCAUCUGCUCCACCAUCUAUACCAGAACCAAUAGCAUAUCCAAUUAUUGGCUUCUCAUCUUUGCGAAGACUACAUGGUUCGACAAACUUAUUUGUUUUCACUUUUCAAUAUUUUUGGUUCUGUUUGACUCUUCCUUCUCAAAUUGCUUAUUUCAUACUUUUGCAUUUACUUUGGAAACAAUUUGGUUUUUAAAACCUUUAUAGUA
Molecule: long non-coding RNA, 2397 nt
Organism: Brassica rapa (field mustard)
Lineage: Eukaryota; Viridiplantae; Streptophyta; Magnoliopsida; Brassicales; Brassicaceae
Source: RefSeq, a predicted model, not a curated record